This 333-nucleotide ribosomal RNA is filed under the name uncultured bacterium. Its description in RNAcentral is "partial 16S ribosomal RNA". It matches the Rfam family "Bacterial small subunit ribosomal RNA", at positions 338 to 688 of the family's 1533-position model. The record is from RNAcentral.
CCUACGGGAGGCAGCAGUGGGGGAUAUUGCACAAUGGGGGAAACCCUGAUGCAGCGACGCCGCGUGAGUGAAGAAGUAUUUCGGUAUGUAAAGCUCUAUCAGCAGGGAAGAAAAUGACAGUACCUGACCAAGAAGCCCCGGCUAACUACGUGCCAGCAGCCGCGGUAAUACGUAGGGGGCAAGCGUUAUCCGGAUUUACUGGGUGUAAAGGGAGCGUAGACGGUUAUGUAAGUCUGGAGUGAAAGCCCGGGGCCCAACCCCGGGACUGCUUUGGAAACUGUGUAACUGGAGUACAGGAGGGGGGGGGGGAUGUCGUGGGGAAGGGGUGAAGGG